AUUGAACGCUGGCGGAAUGCUUUACACAUGCAAGUCGAACGAUGAACCUUAGCUUGCUAAGGGGAUUAGUGGCGAACGGGUGAGUAAUAUAUCGGAACGUGCCUUGUAAUGGGGGAUAACUAGUCGAAAGAUUAGCUAAUACCGCAUACGCCCUGAGGGGGAAAGUAGGGGAUCUUCGGACCUUACGUUAUAAGAGCGGCCGAUAUCUGAUUAGCUAGUUGGUGGGGUAAUGGCCUACCAAGGCGACGAUCAGUAGCUGGUCUGAGAGGACGACCAGCCACACUGGAACUGAGACACGGUACAGACUCCUACGGGGGGAAGCAGUGGGGAAUUUUGGACAAUGGACGAAAGCCUGAUCCAGCCCUACCGCGUGAGUGAAGAAGGACUUCGGGUUGUAAAGCUCUUUAGCAAGGGAAGAAAAAUUGCCAUCGAAUAAAUGGUGAGGCUGACGGUACCUGGAGAAGAAGCACCGGCUAACUACGUG
Molecule: ribosomal RNA, 484 nt
Filed under: uncultured bacterium
Lineage: Bacteria
Description: partial 16S ribosomal RNA
Rfam family: Bacterial small subunit ribosomal RNA
Source: RNAcentral